GGCACAGUGGUGCAGUGGGUAGCACUGUUGCCUCACAGCAAGGGUUCGAAUCCAGCCUGGGCCU
RNAcentral lists this transfer RNA (64 nucleotides) under Anguilla anguilla (European eel). Its description in RNAcentral is "tRNA-OTHER". The record is from RNAcentral. Lineage: Eukaryota; Metazoa; Chordata; Actinopteri; Anguilliformes; Anguillidae.